Molecule: ribosomal RNA, 274 nt
Filed under: uncultured bacterium
Lineage: Bacteria
Description: partial 16S ribosomal RNA
Rfam family: Bacterial small subunit ribosomal RNA
Source: RNAcentral
AUACGGAGGGUGCAAGCGUUAAUCGGAAUUACUGGGCGUAAGGCGCGCGUAGGCGGCUAUAUAAGUCGGAUGUGAAAGCCCUGGGCUCAACCUGGGAACUGCAUUCGAUACUGUAUAGCUAGAGUUUGGUAGAGGGAAGUGGAAUUCCACAUGUAGCGGUGAAAUGCGUAGAUAUGUGGAGGAACACCAGUGGCGAAGGCGACUUCCUGGACCAGAACUGACGCUGAGGUGCGAAAGCGUGGGUAGCAAACAGGAUUAGAUACCCUAGUAGUCC